This 509-nucleotide long non-coding RNA is filed under the name Rhinopithecus bieti (black snub-nosed monkey). RNAcentral describes it as "lncRNA (ENSRBIG00000045940.1)". Lineage: Eukaryota; Metazoa; Chordata; Mammalia; Primates; Cercopithecidae. The record is from RNAcentral.
GGAUAACAACAGGAGGCAGUCUCCACCCUGAUCCUCCCACUGGGUCCUGGGCGUGAAGGUGGGAGUUAGCAGUGUGGGGUAAGGCCCCAGUGGCGGCGAGCUUGACCAGCAUGGGCACUGGCAGACUGUGAAACAGGGGAUUUCCUUCAGCAUUUCUGCAGUCACCACAGCUGAAUCCCUCUGUUUGUUUACUUCUUACUGUCAGUCGUCACCUACUCCUGGAAGGAUUUUGCUUGGUUCUGUUUUGAGCACCUUCUGUGGGCCAGACGCUGCAUUAGGUGCUGUCGACACGAUGAUGAGCAAGACAGUUCUACAUCUCCCUGGAGCCUGAAUAUCUUUAUCUGUAUAGUGGGGACAAAAAUCCCACAAUAAUGACUUGGCCCUUCUCAAGGGGUUGUGUGGAGAUCAGCUGAGCUAAUGGAGGAGAAAGUGCUUUGUAAAAUAUUAAGGCACGAUACCAAUAUGAAGAAUGAUCAGAUACAGAGUGAAAGUAGAUGUUAAAAAAGAAG